RNAcentral lists this long non-coding RNA (231 nucleotides) under Elaeis guineensis (African oil palm). RNAcentral's name for it is "long non-coding RNA (EGUI_LNC025412)". Lineage: Eukaryota; Viridiplantae; Streptophyta; Magnoliopsida; Arecales; Arecaceae. The record is from RNAcentral.
GGGUGUUGCCACUAGUGUUCUAGCCAAGGUCAGCUCGAUCGGAGAUGGGAUGUAGCUGGUGCUGGGCAGUGAUGGCUUAACCUGCAAAAUAAAUUUCUUACCAUAGUUGGCUUUGGCCAAGAUCCUCCAACGUUCAAAUCAGAAAACUAUGAAAUAGGAGGGAAGAAGUGAGUAGAGAAAAAGGUGAGAGCAUAUCCUGGAGGUCCCCUUUGGCCCACUAUUUAUAGACGG